RNAcentral lists this ribosomal RNA (628 nucleotides) under Bacillus sp. UST050418-680. RNAcentral's name for it is "bacterial SSU rRNA". It matches the Rfam family "Bacterial small subunit ribosomal RNA", at positions 394 to 1007 of the family's 1533-position model. Lineage: Bacteria; Bacillati; Bacillota; Bacilli; Caryophanales; Bacillaceae. The record is from RNAcentral.
ACGCCGCGUGAGUGAUGAAGGUUUUCGGAUCGUAAAGCUCUGUUGUUAGGGAAGAACAAGUGCAAGAGUAACUGCUUGCACCUUGACGGUACCUAACCAGAAAGCCACGGCUAACUACGUGCCAGCAGCCGCGGUAAUACGUAGGUGGCAAGCGUUGUCCGGAAUUAUUGGGCGUAAAGGGCUCGCAGGCGGUUUCUUAAGUCUGAUGUGAAAGCCCCCGGCUCAACCGGGGAGGGUCAUUGGAAACUGGGAAACUUGAGUGCAGAAGAGGAGAGUGGAAUUCCACGUGUACGGUGAAAUGCGUAAGAUGUGGAGGAACACCAGUGGCGAAGGCGACUCUCUGGUCUGUAACUGACGCUGAGGAGCGAAAGCGUGGGGAGCGAACAGGAUUAGAUACCCUGGUAGUCCACGCCGUAAACGAUGAGUGCUAAGUGUUAGGGGGUUUCCGCCCCUUAGUGCUGCAGCUAACGCAUUAAGCACUCCGCCUGGGGAGUACGGUCGCAAGACUGAAACUCAAAGGAAUUGACGGGGGCCCGCACAAAGCGGUGGAGCAUGUGGUUUAAUUCCGAAAGCCAACGCGAAAGAACCUUUACCCAGGGUCUUGACAUCCUCUGACAACCCUAGAGAU